This 497-nucleotide ribosomal RNA is filed under the name uncultured bacterium. RNAcentral describes it as "partial 16S ribosomal RNA". It matches the Rfam family "Bacterial small subunit ribosomal RNA", at positions 28 to 507 of the family's 1533-position model. The record is from RNAcentral.
GAUGAACGCUGGCGGCGUGCCUAAUACAUGCAAGUCGAGCGAACAGACGAGGAGCUUGCUCCUCUGACGUUAGCGGCGGACGGGUGAGUAACACGUGGAUAACCUACCUAUAAGACUGGGAUAACUUCGGGAAACCGGAGCUAAUACCGGAUAAUAUAUUGAACCGCAUGGUUCAAUAGUGAAAGACGGUUUUGCUGUCACUUAUAGAUGGAUCCGCGCCGCAUUAGCUAGUUGGUAAGGUAACGGCUUACCAAGGCGACGAUGCGUAGCCGACCUGAGAGGGUGAUAGGCCACACUGGAACUGAGACACGGUCCAGACGCCUACGGGAGGCAGCAGUAGGGAAUCUUCCGCAAUGGGCGAAAGCCUUACGGAGCAACGCCGCGUGAGUGAUGAAGGUCUUCGGAUCGUAAAACUCUGUUAUUAGGGAAGAACAAAUGUGUAAGUAACUAUGCACGUCUUGACGGUACCUAAUCAGAAAGCCACGGCUAACUACGUG